Molecule: long non-coding RNA, 382 nt
Filed under: Homo sapiens (human)
Lineage: Eukaryota; Metazoa; Chordata; Mammalia; Primates; Hominidae
Description: HSALNT0308183
Source: RNAcentral
CUCCCAGCCUACAUCUUUCUCCCGUGCUGGAUGCUUCCUGUCAUCGAACAUCAGACUCCAAUCUUCAGUUUUGAGAUUUAGACUGGCUCUCCUUGCCUCUCAAGCUUGCAGACAGCCUAUUGUGGGACCUUGUGAUCAUGUUGGAAGUUAGACUUUUUGUAAAUCUACUCAUUUAUAUCAAGUUGAAGAGAGAUUUCCCUGAACACAGAAGAAGGAGGGCUUAUGAAGAUUCUUUUUUCUUUAUUUUCUCUUUUGUUUUGGUAAGUGGCCUUAAGGAAUCUAUAAUUCUUCAAAUUCCAUGGAAGAGAAACUUAACUAAAACAUUCAGCAUAUUUCUUCCAGUGAUUUCCCAAGUCAUCUGCUAUUUUGCUAAUAAAUAUCU